RNAcentral lists this ribosomal RNA (117 nucleotides) under Pogona vitticeps (central bearded dragon). Lineage: Eukaryota; Metazoa; Chordata; Lepidosauria; Squamata; Agamidae. The record is from RNAcentral.
UAUGGCCGCCAGAACGCCCUGAACAUACUGACCUUAUUUGAUUCUAUUGGCUAAGCAGGUCACACCUGGUUAAUACUUGGAUAGGACACCACCAGGGGAUCCUGGGUGCUGUAGUGG